This 207-nucleotide ribosomal RNA is filed under the name uncultured bacterium. Its description in RNAcentral is "partial 16S ribosomal RNA". It matches the Rfam family "Bacterial small subunit ribosomal RNA", at positions 568 to 774 of the family's 1533-position model. The record is from RNAcentral.
UGCGCAGGCGGCUUGCUAAGUCGGAUGUGAAAGCCCCGGGCUUAACCUGGGAAUUGCAUUCGAUACUGGCAAGCUAGAGUCUGGUAGAGGUAAGCGGAAUUCCGGGUGUAGCGGUGAAAUGCGUAGAUAUCCGGAGGAACAUCAGUGGCGGAGGCGGCUUACUGGACCAAGACUGACGCUCAUGCACGAAAGCGUGGGUAGCAAACA